Molecule: long non-coding RNA, 5906 nt
Filed under: Lactuca sativa (garden lettuce)
Lineage: Eukaryota; Viridiplantae; Streptophyta; Magnoliopsida; Asterales; Asteraceae
Description: long non-coding RNA (LSAT_LNC001250)
Source: RNAcentral
GUUUUGCUUGAAGGAAGAAAGGAGCACAAAUUUUGAGUGUGAAGGGGACUGGAUCUGAGCUAAUCAUCUCGUGAUAUCAUCUUCGAGGUAUAAUCCUUUCCAUUUCGUGUUAUAUUGAUGGACUUCUUGAUUUUAGGGAUUUUACCCUCAUUUUAUGGAAGAUUUGGUGAGUAUGAGGUCCUCUUUGGGAUUAUGACAUCAGAUCUAGACCAUGAGAGGUCCCUAGAGUCAUUACCUUCUAGCUUUUUGCAAGCAAAUAAGCAAUUGGAGACUAGGUUGCCAUUUCUUGUGUUAUUUCUCCAUUUGAGGCUUGAAUUGGGUUGCAUGCACGUAAAUCUUGCACCUUUACGUGACUUUUGAGUGUUUAAGGGUUAGAUCUAUGAUUUGGCUAAACAAAUCUGACCUCAGGAGGUUGAAUAAGCAAUUCCAUGGAGGAAACUCGUCGAGUCCAUAUGUAGACUCGACAAGUUGGACUGGGUUGCCCCGGGGUCUGACUCCAGUGGUGAUCCGGUGAGUUGAGGGGUAACUCAGUGAGUCGAGUGAGGCUCAGAAAGGGAAGAGUUUGUGGGGACGAUGGGACUCGCUGAGUCAUCAUAUGCACUCGGCGAGUCUGGUCAAACUGGACAGUUGACUUUUAGGGCUUUGUCAACCAAUGGGCCUUGGGCCUGUAGAGGGGUAGAAUGGUCUUUUACCCUUCUAGGGAUUUUCAUGAGAGAAUAUCCAAAUUGUGAAGAGACAUUUAUUUAGUGAAAUUUAUUAUUGUGAAUAGGUGGAGGCUGGGGCAAUAUUCUAAUAUCGAGAUAUUACCAACAUUCCCAAGGUGAGUCUUCUCACUAUAUUUUACCUAGAGUGGUAAUCAGAGCUAUGUGACGGUGUAUCUUGUAUGCUAUUUAUGUGUUGUGAUUAUAUGUGAUAUGUGAUAUGCAUGAUUCAGGGUUUACAAAGUUAGGACCAGUGGGUCCAUAGAGUUAUGGGACCCAGAGGGUCCCACAGAGAUAUUCGACCAGAGGGUCAUCAGAGUUACAGCCUCGAGUGGCUGAUAUGUGUUUAUGUGGUAUUUUGGGGAACUCACUAAGAAUUUAUGCUUACAGAGUUUUGUGUAUAUGGUUCAGGUACUAGUGAUGAUCGCGGGAAGGCGCCGGCAUGAUCUGUACACACUCAUGGAGCUUUUGUUAUAUGAUUCUGGGAUAUGUUGUUUUAUGAUGACAGUAGAUACACUAUGUUUACUAUUAUUUUAUGAACGAAAUUAUGUUUUAAAAUUGUGAAAAUUUUUCUUGAAAAAUUGGGUGUUACAAGUUGGUAUCAGAGCCUUGGUUUGAGGGAUUCGGGUGCACCUUCGGGCAUAAAUGAACUCAAACUAAGGAUUUGAGGGAUUUUAGAAAUAAAAUUCACAAAAUUUUUCUCAAGAGUAAGAAGUUUUUGAAAGAGCAGAGUAGAGCAGUGUGUACGAUCAGCCAGUGCCCAAACGGUGAUUUCCCAAGAUACCCUUACAUUAUGAGUUAUGGGAUACCUUAUGAUAUAAUAUGCAUGCUAGAGUAGGCUAGGUAUUCUUAUUAGGACUAGAGUGGCCUGAUUUGUGAUGCCUUAGCCUAGGGAUUUUGCUGCUAGGAGAUGCUUGAGAGUGAAUAGAUAGCAGCAAGGAGCUUAUGAGGGAUCUGCUAGGGAGUAGACUUUGUAUAGAGAGAGUAGAGUACUCGAGACUUGGGAUCCAAGGAGGAGGACUUGAGGUGCAUAUUUAUGCGGUGUGGACGGUAGUAUUGGGCCCGUACUACCGAAGACACCGGAUUAGUGCGCAUCCCAAGUAAGAAUCCUUAGGGUACCAGGGAUCAAGUAGGAAUGGGAUAUCGAGUGUGUGUACACUCGAGCGAGUCUCUGAUAUCUUGUGUUGUAAUUCAGAGAGACAUCAUGGUUGGGACACGCCACAUGCUAGGGACUAGCGAGGGGGGUGUGAGCGAUAAGGAGCUCCGCCAGAUGAUUCAUGAUGAGGUGGCUACGGCCAUCCGCGCUGAGAUUCCAGAGAUGUUCGGGUCUAUCAAGACCACACUGAUUGAGACUUUUGAUGAGCGAUAUGCUGCUCUUACUGAUGCUGUUGUUGCUGCAGCCACUGCAGCCGUUGCUGCUACCAGGCCGUAGGGGGUGACGCAUUGUUGUACCGGGAGUUCAGCAACACGAAGCCACCAGAGUUUGAUGGGACUCAGGAUCCUAUAACCACGAUGAGGUGGAUCUCUAACAUUGAGGGGUGUUUCUACACAUGUUCAUGUCUAGAGCAUCUGAGAGUUCAGUUCGCGCUGAACCAGCUUCGCUUGGGGGCGAAGGACUGGUGGAAGUUUGUGACAGCGCACUAUUCUUCUGUAGAGCUUGCUGCGGUGACCUAGGAGAGGUUCAUCGCUAUGUUUCGUGAUGAGUACGUUCCCCCAGUGGAAAGGGAGCAUUUGGACCAGGAGUUUUUGACCCUCAAGCAGGGUAUUAAGUCUGUUACUGUGAUCACCAGGAUGUUUCAUGAGAGGGUGAUGUUCUGCCCUGAGCACGUGUCUUCCGAGCAGGCACGUAUGAGUCGGUAUUUGAGUGUUUUGAGGAGAGACAUCCACGAUUUUGUGGCGAACUGGACAUACCGGACAUUUUUCGAGCUUCAGGCAAAUGCCCGGAAGAGAGAGAUUGAGCUAGAGACUCAGGCCAGGGAGGAAGCGGAGUCUCAGGGGAGGGAUCGGCGACCGGCACAGUCCAGUCGGCUGNAGUCCCAGUCGGCUGCCAAGCGGGCUAAGCCCGCGGAUUCGAGAUCAGGGAACCAGAAGGGCCGUACUUGUGGCAAGUGCAGCAAGAGUCAUGAGGGGGUAUGGAGAGCAGGGUCUUGCUACAAGUGUGGCAAGGAGGGGCACAUGGCCAAGGACUGCCCCAAGGGGUUUGCAGUUUGUUUUCACUGUAACCAGACUGGACACCAGAAGGCCAAGUGUCCGCAGUUAUGAGGGUCAGCUCAGGGAGCUUCUCGGGGAUCUGUCCCUGCUGCUACUUGAGCUACGGAGAGUCGGUCGGUGAAGGUCGAGGCGCCGAAGGUUCACCGGAGAGCCUUCCAGUUGACAGCGGAGGAGGUCCGUGCAGCACCCGAUGUUGUGGCUGGUAUGUAUUCUUUCAUAUGUUUAUUUUGAGUUUGUGGUGUUAUGAUUAUAUUGUGAUAUGCGUAGGUACAUUUCUUGUGUGUUUUGUACCAGCUUUGGUGUUAUUUGACUCGGGUGCGAGUCGGUCUUUUGUGUCGUUAGCCUUUAGUCAGCACAUCAGUAUUCGUCGAGAGGCGUUGAGUCGACCUUUGCGAGUUUCCAUAGCUGAAGAGAGAUCAGUGUAUGGCACUGAUGUGAUUCGAGGAUGUGUGCUCCAGAUCUUCGGUGUUGGGUAUCCGAUUAAUUUGGUCCCGAUUGCUAUGGGAGAUGUCUGUGUCAUCGUGGGCAUGGACUGGUUGAGCAGAGUUGGAGCGGUUAUCGACUGCGAGCGAAAGCUGGUGACUAUAAGAGACCCUAGUGGGGGAGUUCUUUCGGUUUAUGGCGAGGGUACCCUGGGUCGGCAUUUUGUUCAGCCGCGAGAGCGAGGCAGAGUCUACAGCAAGGUUGUAGUGGCUUUGUGGCUUAUGUGGUGGAUACGAGGGUAGGUACAGAGAGAUCGAGGUCGGUCGAUGAGGUGCCAAUAGUGCGUGAGUUCCCGGAUGUUUUCCCGAGGAGUUGUCGGGUGUGCCUCCCGAGAGGCAGGUGGAGUUCCGUAUCGAUUUGGUUUCGGGGGCAGCGCCCUAUCGCCUUGCACCUCCAGAGAUGCAGGAGUUAUCCUCGCAGCUUUUGGAGCUGCAGGGAAAGGCGUUUAUACGGCCGAGUAGCUCGCUGUGGGGAGUGCCGAUCCUUUUUGUCAAGAAAUAGGAUGGUUCACAACGGAUGUGCAUUGAUUAUCGAGUCCUGAACGUUGUCUUGAGGUUCCCCAGUGGAAGUAGGAACAGAUUUCCAUGGAUUUUAUCACCAAAUUGCCAAGGACUGCGAGAGGCGUCGAUACAAUUUGGGUGAUCGUCGACCGGCUGACAAAGAGCGCUCAUUUUCUUGCUAUCAGCGAUAGCUCUUCCACGAAGAGGCUGGCAGAAGUGUACGUGAAGGAGGUGGUAUCGCGACAUGGUGUACCGAUCUCGAUUGUGUCAGAUCGAGAUGUGUGUUUCACUUCUAGAUUCUGGAAGAAGUUCCAUGAGGAGUUGGGUACUAGGCUGCAUUUUAGUACAGCUUACCACCCACAGAUGGACGGACAGAGUAAGCGGACGAUUCAGACGCUCGAGGACAUGCUUCGGGCAUGUGUGUUGGACUUCAGAGGGAUUUGGGACUCGUAUCUGCCUUUGGCUGAGUUUUCCUAUAACAACAGCCACCAUUCGAGCAUUGGUAUGCCUCCUUUCGAGUUUUUGUAUGGGAGGAAGUGUCGAACUCCCAUCUGUUGGGGAGAGGUAGGACAACGAGUGAUGGGUAGCACGGAGAUAGUGCUUCGGACGACUGAGCAGAUACAACAGGUCAGGAAGGGGUUGCUGACGGCUCAGAGUCGUCAGAAGAGCUACGCGGAUAGGCGUCGCUCAGAGCUCGACUUCCAGGUGGGUGAUUUCGUUCUCCUGAAGGUGUCACCUUGGAAAUGUGUGAUCCGGUUUAGGAAGUGAGUCAAGUUGGGGCCUCGGUAUAUUGGUCCAUUCCGGGUGAUUGUGAGGGUAGGCAGGGUAGCGUAUCUUUUGGAGUUACCUACGGAGGUGAGUCAGAUUCAUGAUACCUUCCACGUGUCUCAGUUGAGGAAGUGUAUUGCAGAUGAAUUGGUGGUGGUACCGUUAGAGGAUAUUCAGGUGGAUGCAAGCCUGAAUUAUGUUGAAAGGCCAAUUGCGAUUCGGGAUCGGAGAAUCAAGUUUUUGAGAAACAAGGAGGUGUCCUUAGUGCAGGUUUAGUGGCAGCAUCGGAAGGGGUCCGAGCUGACAUCGGAACCAGAGACUGAGAUGCGUGAGCAAUAUCCAAAGAUAUUUGCAGAGUGAGACCUCGAGGGCGAAGUAUGAUUCUAGUGGGGGAGAAUUGUAACAUCCUGAGUUUGGGUAUGUCAAUUUAAUUAAUUAUUUAUUGUUUUAUUGAGGAACUCGACGAGUUGAUGCCUUAACUCGUCGAGUGGAGUCUGAUCUAUUGGCACAUUUUCGCGAAUGGAAUCGACGAGUCGGGACCUGACUCGCCGAGUCGGUGCUGAUUAGGAAAACCUUAAUCCCCAUGUUUGGGAGCCUAUUUAAAGACCUUUAUGGCCUUCAUUUGCGGCCACCUUGUUCCAGAGAAACCCUAGAGAGCUGAGAUAGUGAGUUUGAGGGUAAGAGGAGGCCAUUUCUUCAUCUUUUUGUGUGGUUUUGCUUGAAGGAAGAGAGGAGCACAAAUCUAGAGUGUGAAGGGGACUGGAUCUGAGCUAAUCAUCUCGUGAUAUCAUCUUUGGAGGUAUAAUCCUUUCCAUUUCGUGUUAUAUUGAUGGACUUCUUGAUUUUAGGGUUUUUACCCUCAUUUUAUGGAAGAUCUGGUGAGUAUGAGGUCCUCUUUGGGAUUCUGACAUCAGAUAUGGACCAUGAGAGGUCCCUAGAGUCAUUACCUUCUAGCUUUUUGCAAGCAAAUAAGAAAUUGGAGACUAGGUUGCCAUUUCUUGUGUUAUUUCUCCAUUUGAGGCUUGAAUUGGGUUGCAUGCACGUAAAGGUUGCACCUUUACGUGACUUUUGAGUGUUUAAAGGUUAGAUCUAUGAUUUGGCUAAGCAGAUCUGACCUCAGGAGGUUGAAACUCACCGAGCCCAUAUGUAGACUCGACGAGUCAGACUGGGUUUGCCCCGGGGUUUGACUCCAGUGGUGAUCCGGUGAGUUGAGGGGUGACUCAGUGAGUCGAGUGAGGCUUAG